This is a long non-coding RNA of Triticum aestivum (bread wheat), 945 nucleotides long. RefSeq lists it as uncharacterized. The transcript is spliced from 4 exons. Lineage: Eukaryota; Viridiplantae; Streptophyta; Magnoliopsida; Poales; Poaceae. The record is from RefSeq and is a predicted model, not a curated record.
CUUUCAUGUGGGAAGGAAGAACAAAGCACCAAACUCACAAGUUGCAGCCAUUGUGCAUCAACAAGCCAAACCAUAUUGUCAGAUCUUCUACAUUUGCAACGAGACUCUUGCUUGCUCUAGGGAGGCCACUCAGCGUUUGAUAAAAGUAGAGUCACCGCAAAGCAACUACACAAGCACUGAUUCAGACCGAUCUGAGUUCCCUGCAAGAUCCCAAUCACUAUCACCGGGGCAUACAGGUUUCUUCGGCUCCACAGAUCAAAAAGCCCUACAAUGACAGUCCAAGCAGCCAGUUAGCUAUAUAUAUAUCCCUUGUCAGCAUCGAUAACAGACAACACGGAGACCAUACCAGGUGCAAGGAACCAGUCAAUUCAUACGAUGACAUCAACAGGUUUCUCCCUGAAUUUCAGCCAGCAAAGCUUUCAAGGAUCUUCACCAACUCUAAAGGAUUCGGAUAAUAUGAAUGGUUCACUGGUACCUGUUUCAGUUGGAAGCUCUAAAGAACAUCAACACUCUAUGAUGGAAACCACUGUGCAACAUGAAGUGUUCGGGCAACUACAACUACUCCUUGAUGAUCUGGAGUGCUCGAAAAGAGAAACAUUUGAGGGUCAGCAGAAAAUAGCGAGGGGUCUGUUCGAAAAUCCUACGAUGUGCAAAGCACAGGAGAAUUCACCCCGUAAAGAGAAAAAUGAGCGAGAGGAAAGACUGGCCAGAGAAAAGGCCGGACUCAAAAAGGAACACCUUCAUUUAUACAACGAGCUGUAGAAAGCAAAUGAGCAACGAGCAGAACUUGAGAACAAGCUUCUCCAGACAAACUCCCUGAUGGAAGAGCUCCAGCGCAAGAAAGAACAAGCUGUUAAACAGGUUGAAGGGAUGCGCCAAACAAACGGUAGCGGUGCAUUUGUAUUUGGCUCUACCAGUAGUAGUGCCAUUGUGUUAACUGGUUUC